Long non-coding RNA from Eurytemora carolleeae, 1072 nucleotides. RefSeq lists it as uncharacterized. The record is from RefSeq and is a predicted model, not a curated record. The transcript has 3 exons. Lineage: Eukaryota; Metazoa; Arthropoda; Copepoda; Calanoida; Temoridae.
AAUAGUUUUAUAUUUUUAGUUUUUGGACUUUUCUUUUACGUGAAAAAUGACUGGUGUGAACUGCUCUUUAAAAAUAAUACGGAGAAUCCUGAGUGCAGGAGACAGUAUAGUGAUAACUUCCUGAAGGUUGGAGGGAGUCCAGAUAAUUACACUAAACCAACACAAAAACACAAGAAGAUUCUGCGUGGGAGAAAAACAUAGCGGAUCUAACGUAUAUACGUGGAUCUAGUAUAUACACGGAUCUGGUGUAUACGCGGAUAUGGUAUGUACGCGGAUCUAGUGUAUAUGCGGAUCUAGUUUAUACGCGGAUCUAGUGUAUACGUGGAUCUAGUGUCUACGCGGGUCAAGUUUAUACGCAGAUCUGAUAUAUAUAAUUUGUAGAUAUGGCAACAGCGUACCAAUUUCAAUUGGUUUUAAUGAAGGUUUAAAAUCUCAGAAAAUUGGACCUAGUAUAUACGCAGAUCUAGUAUAUACGCGGAUCUUGUAUAAAUGUGGAUCUAGUAUAUACGCGGAUCUUGUAUAAAUAUGGAUCUAGUAUAUACGCGGAUCUUGUAUAAAUAUGGAUCUAGUAUAUACGCGGAUCUUGUAUAAAUAUGGAUCUAGUUUAUACGCGGAUGUUGUAUAAAUAUGGAUCUAGUAUAUACGCGGAUCUUGUACAAAUAUGGAUCUAGUAUAUACGCAGAUCUUGUAUAAAUGUGGAUUAAGUAUAUAGCGGAUCUUGUAUAAAUAUGGAUCUAGUAUAUACGCGGAUCUUGUAUAAAUGUGAAUCUAGUAUAUACGCGGAUCUUUUACAAAUAUGUAUCUAGUUUAUACGCGGAUCUUGUACAAAUAUGGAUCUAGUUUAUACGCGGAUGUUGUAUAAAUGUGGAUCUAGUAUAUACGCGAAUCAUAAGAAUAGCCAUAUCUAGUAUAUACGCGGAGCUAAAGCGUACACUAUGGAAUAAAAUUUAUUGCAGUAUUUACAAAUGGUCGUCUAUGGAAGUAAUAAUGAAUGUAUAAAAAUUUGUAUUGAAAAUAUUAUUUAAAUAAUUCUGGUUUUUGUUGUAAAAAGCACAGAAAGCACUUUUAAAGG